UACGGAGGAGGCAAGCGUUAUCCGGAAUUACUGGGCGUAAAGCGUGCGUAGGUGGUUGUUUAAGUCUGUUGUGAAAGCCCUGGGCUCAACCUGGGAAUUGCAGUGGAUACUGGGCGACUAGAGUGUGGUAGAGGGUAGUGGAAUUCCCGGUGUAGCAGUGAAAUGCGUAGAGAUCGGGAGGAACAUCCAUGGCGAAGGCAGCUACCUGGACCAACACUGACACUGAGGCACGAAAGCGUGGGGAGCAAACAGG
This 253-nucleotide ribosomal RNA is filed under the name uncultured bacterium. RNAcentral's name for it is "partial 16S ribosomal RNA". It matches the Rfam family "Bacterial small subunit ribosomal RNA", at positions 524 to 776 of the family's 1533-position model. The record is from RNAcentral.